Molecule: long non-coding RNA, 431 nt
Filed under: Zostera marina
Lineage: Eukaryota; Viridiplantae; Streptophyta; Magnoliopsida; Alismatales; Zosteraceae
Description: long non-coding RNA (ZMAR_LNC004479)
Source: RNAcentral
CCUCCAGCGAACGAGCGAGCUAACGCAAUCAGCGAGUGAAUCGCGCGAAGUAGAAGCAUCUGUCUGAUCGCAAGUCGAAGGGAAAGCUGCCUGACCGCGAGCGAAGGCAUGUCAGCAAGCACGAGCGAGCCCGGUCGGCGAUUCGACCGAAAAGAAGUCCGGUGCCAGCGAGUGAGCGAGCCAUGCCAACGCGUGAGUUGAAGUCCGGCCACUGACCGCGAGCGAGCCCUGGCGGCGAUAGGGCGGCGAUCGACCGAGAAAGAGGGAUUGGAAGAGAGCGAGCAUGCGAGAGCGAGAAAUGGGGAGCGAGCGAGGUCACCUCAGAUCAGCAGCACUCCACGCCUAGCUUCCAGUUCAAAUCUACUCCCUAACCUCUUUGUUAACUUGAUCGAAGGACCUCGAGUGAGACCUCGGCUCCACGCCUCCCAGUG